AUCACCUGGGGCUGAGCUGCGCGGUGGCCGCAGGGACAGGUCCCCUGUCCUUCACCUGGCACCGGGGGGGCUCGGGCACAAUGUUGGUAACUGGGCCCCACCUGGAGCUGCGAGACAUUGGAGACAAUGAUAGCAGCCACUAUCACUGCCGAGUCAGCAACGGGGACAGUGUGGCCGAGAGUGUCCCCCUGAAUGUCACCGUCCUGGGUGCGAGAGACCCUCGGGCUGGGGGUGACCCCACCCACAGCAGCCCCAUCCCACCUUGCCUGGUGCCAGCCCUGUCUGUGUCCCCACAGCGCCAGUGGCCAAUGCCACCAUCACCCCCGGUCCCCUGUCACACCAGGUGCACACAGGUGACCCCGUGACACUGAGCUGCUCGGUGCAGGCGGGCUCAGCCCCUGUCACCUUCACCUGGCUGCACAACGGGCAGGAGGUGGCCCGAGGUCCCGUCCUGGAGCUUGGUGACGUCAGUGUGGGACAUUUGGGCAUCUACCAGUGCGUGGCCACCAACCAGCUGGGACAGGAUGGGCACCGCGUGUUCCGGGCACUCAGCCUCAAGCUGGCCCUGGAGGUGACACCACAAGGACACUGGAACAUAGUGGCCACAGGGGUCCGUGGGUCCCAUUUGUUCCUGGUCCCGCUUGUGGCUGUCAUUGUGGCCUGGCACCGCUGGCACUGCCUGGCCUCCAGGAAGCACCAGGAAAGGUGAGUGAGGGUCUCCAGCUGUGGCCCCCCUUUUACCCUCACCCCACAACUCUCCAUCCCCUCCCACACAUCCCCUUUAUCCCCUCAGGGCCCCCCCGGAGCCCCCAGCCCCCCCAGAGGAGGGGGAGGUUCUGUACACCCAUGUCACGAGCACCAAACAGACACGGCGUGAGUUCAGUGCUGGGGAGACAGUGACACGUCACCACCGGUGUCACCCCCACCUUGGUCCCCCAACUGGUGUCUCUUGAAGGGCCCCCCCAUGUCACCGUCCCCCAGGAAGCCCCGGUGGCCUACAUGGAGCCGCCGGGACCCCACGGGCGACUGCGGAAGCCCAGUGACAUCUACGAGAUUGCACCGUGACACUUGGGAUGUCGGAGUCCAGGACACCCCUCUGGCCGCCCUGGAGGGUUUGGAGACCGGACAGGGGGGUCUGGGAUCUGUACAAGGGGCUCAGCCAGCCUCACACAGAGCCCAGGAGGACACUGCCUCUGAUCCCUGCCAUGGGAGUGAGUGCCCACGUUGUAUGAAGAAUCACAACACAAGAGAAUUCGAAAUGAGUAGUAGUUAGUUUAUCACAGACUGUGAAUGUAGAAUCUAGGAUUUUUAGUGUAUGGCUUUGAAGAGGCAAGAUGAAGGAAUUGGGGAGUGUUCCUGUCCUCCUUGUUCUUGUUCUUUUCCCCCAUUUUCUGCUGAGUUGGAUCACAAGGGUUAGGUUAGAGUAGAAAUGACAUGUUAACAUACGUAGUAAUUAUUGGUAAGAUUUUGUAAAUAAAAAGUUUGUUGUGGAUGGUGGUUAGACCAGAGCAAUGGAACAAAGGGUCCGGGACCCUCUGACCCGCCCAGUCUGCCACGUGUCCUGCUCUGCUCGGGACGCCCUGCAGAGCUGAGAAAGAACUGAGAGAUAAUGAAAGAAUAAACACCCUUGGAGGCACAGACUGGCAGACUCUGUUUGUUUUCUCUGGCUCUGGACCUUUCAGGCAAGAAAAGCUCGAAAACCCUCCACACCUCAGGGAACAGCAACUCCGAGGAGAACCUCAGGGGACAGCAACCCUGAGAUUGGGGGGCUGGGGGGCACUGGGGGUCCUCACCCAUGGGCAACCACCCAUGUGGGUGCUGCCACUAAAAACUGGCCCUGCCAGUGGAGGUCCCCUGCGCAAUUCCCGGCAUUCCUGCCCCACCUGCAUGGCCAGGUGCUGUUCCCGUGGCCACCUGCUCCAGCCUCAGCCGCUGCUCCAGCUCGGCCUUCCUUGCCGGCCAGCAUCCAGCACUGGCCACAUGGCUCAGAAUCAUGCCCAACACCAGCAAAAACCACCAAGAGAAACUCUUCUUGGCAGCCAAAAUAGCUCCCUGUGGGCAGACCUGGGGGCACCUGUCCCCCAAAAUGUGUCCAAUGCCCAAAACACCCAGGAAAGGCACCAGAGCCGUGUGUUUGUGCUCAGGGAUGGUUUAGGGGCACAGCUGGGCAUUCGGAACCCCUGCCCUAAUUACAUCGCCUCUUUAAGGCUCGGCAGCACCCAAAGCAGAACAGGAGCAUUGGACCAACCACCUCCAAUUUCGCCCCAUUUUGCCCUCUCAAGCCACUGCUCCUGGCCCCGGCUGUCCCUGUGCUCCAGCUGCAGCCGCAGAGCCCUCGGGGCCAGCCCUUUUUCCCCCACACAAUUCUCACCUUUGCAGUAGCUCUAAAGCUGCCACAAUCCAAGCCAAGGGGGCAGGGGGGACCCACAGGUGCUGGCUGCCCCCUGGGGCUGGCCAGAGCAGGGCUGGCCAAUGCCCAUCCCUGUGCAGUGGGGCUGGGCAGUGGCUGGGCCCCACACUUGGAUGGCCAGUGGCUUCCAGGAGGAGGAGUUGGGGAGCUCCUUCCUGCCUGGGGCUCCAUUCCCCAGCUGCUCUUGCCGGCUCACAUCCUGCAGGGGACGAGUUAGAAUGGAGAAGUUUGGAACAGGAGCCCUGAUCCCUGCAGCUCCUGCUACAGCUUCAGAGUUUUUGCUACUCUUCCUUUGCCCCCCUGGGCUGUGCCUCCCCCGCCGUUCCAGCUGCCACUCCCAGGGUUCCUGCUGCAGUCCGUUUUGCCAUCCGCAGUGGCUCCGUUCCCCGCUGCCCCCACCCCGUCAGGGAGGGAAGGAAGCUUCUCUCUCUCUCCCGCCGGUGGAGUCUCCGCUAACCACGGAGAGAGACGGCCGAGCCCGCGCCACAGCGCCCCCUGCAGCCGUGGGGGAAUCAUCGCACCCGCCCUGCCCGGCCGGGAGCCCCCAGUGCCCCUGCCGGCCGUGCCCGGAACUGCACCGGAGGGGAAGAGCCUGCGGCCGAGACAGGGCUGGGCCUGGGUUUGUGCUUUGGUUUGAUGUUGCUGGUGGUGCUGUCGUUUGUUUGUCUUGUUUUACAUAUUCUAGUAAAGAACUGUUAUUCCUUUUCCCAUAUCUCUGCCUGAAAUCCCUGUAAUUUUGAAGUUAUAAUACUCUGGAGGGAAGGUGGGCAUAUUUUCCAUUCCAAGAGAGGUUCCAGCCUCCCUUGGCAGACACCUUUCAAACAGGAUACCAUCCCCUUGGCAGCAGAGGGCACGGCACGGUUUGUCUUGACAUGGAGCAGCAUCCAGAGCUCCUGGAACUGACUGGAAACUCAGCCCCACCCUGUGCCAUGGGCUCAUUCUGGCUGCUGUAGAAAAGGACGAGGCACCAGAACACCAAAAGGGUCUUGAUAACAUCGCUGUGUCAGGAACAUGGCAGAGUAGCAUUUUGGGAUAGGGGAGAAGAGAACCCAGAGCCCCUUGAAGGCCAUUUUGGCCAUCAGAGCAAGGAAGGUCCAGGGCCCUGCCAGUUUCCUCUGCUGCAGGAAAAGUGCUGGGAGAAAUGUCCAGGGUUUGUUCCUUUUGGGGAGCUCUCCCUAGAAAUUGUUCCUUUUGUGACCCUUUGGAUUCUUAACCUUGUUGCUGUUGCUGCUGGUUUUGUUCUCUCUUUGCUGUUUACAGGAAAUUUUUCUUCUCUCAGCCCUUUGAGAUUUUUGCCUUUUGUGCCUCCACUGCCAGGGGCUGGGGCAGCAGACCCUGAUUUUUAGUGACAACCCAGAAUUGGAGAAUCCCAUUCCUAAACACCAACAGAGCUCAACAAAGCAACACAUUUCUGCCAGUUUAACCAAAAAGCUGCAUUUUGGUCCAAUGACAGGGAAAUGAGUCCUGUGUAUCCCUGGCACUGGAGGAGAGAUGAGGAGCCAUGGGUGUACUGGGAGUGCUGAGAGGGGGAUUGCAGAGCCACUGGGAGUGCAGGGGUGCUGGGAGACAGAAUGGGAAACACCUGGAUCUACUGGGAGCAAGGCAGAGGCACUGGGAGGGGAAAUAGGGAGCCCCUGGGGCUACUGCGAGCACUGUGGGGAGGGAUUGGGGAAGUCUGUGAGGGCACUGGGAGCACUUGGAUGUGGAAUGGGGAGCCACUGGUUGUAGUGGAAGGGGGGUGGGGAAGGCCUUGGGGGUUCUGGGGGCAUGGGGAGCUCUGGGUGCCCUGUGCAGCCCCACACGUGACCCCCAAUUGUGCCCACCAACCCGUGACUGUUGGGCACCCACGGGAGCAGUGGGGGGGACUCACGUGUGGCUGCCCAUGGGUGGGGUCUUCCACUGCCCCCCAGGUCCCCCAGAGCCCCCCAGUGCCCACCCGUGCCCUGAGUGUCACAGCACGUUCCUGUGGAUGUCACUGAGUUCCCGCAGUCGCCCGUGGGGUCCCCGCAGCUCUGCGUAGGUCACCCGGGGAUCCUGGAGUGUGGUGGCAUGGGGGGACGCUGCGAGAGACACUGGCUGUGGGAUCUGGGUGGGGGUGACACUCUUGGGGGACG
Long non-coding RNA from Prinia subflava (tawny-flanked prinia), 4524 nucleotides. RefSeq lists it as uncharacterized. The record is from RefSeq and is a predicted model, not a curated record. NCBI's taxonomy places the organism in Eukaryota, Metazoa, Chordata, Aves, Passeriformes, Cisticolidae. The transcript has 3 exons.